This 259-nucleotide long non-coding RNA is filed under the name Carica papaya (papaya). RNAcentral describes it as "long non-coding RNA (CPAP_LNC005381)". Lineage: Eukaryota; Viridiplantae; Streptophyta; Magnoliopsida; Brassicales; Caricaceae. The record is from RNAcentral.
ACCCGAUACUGUGUUGUCUUGUUUGGUGUAAAUUACUGGUUUACAUGUUUGUGUAUGAUUGGAUGAUUGAGACCAAGGAAAAGGGCAAAAAAGUUAUGUGAAUUGAUAAGUGGAUAAUAUGGACAGGCUGACUAGAUAUCCUCGGAGAUGGUGGACGGAUCGGGUCCAUAGGGAACCCUACUGGGAACGUGGUCUCUCAUACCGGACGGGGUAUGGAGAUCUUAUGUGUUUUGGCGCCCAUACCGGACGGGGUAUGGGG